RNAcentral lists this long non-coding RNA (365 nucleotides) under Homo sapiens (human). Its description in RNAcentral is "non-protein coding lnc-RIPOR3-6:2". Lineage: Eukaryota; Metazoa; Chordata; Mammalia; Primates; Hominidae. The record is from RNAcentral.
AAAGUCUUCCUUUUCCCUCCUCCCGCCAUUCCUUGGCCAUUCGCUGUUUCUACAAAUGACAGCCUCUAGGUUGUGUUCGUUUCCCGGAGUGACCAAGCUGUGUCCCAGAGCAACAAAACGCUGAAUCCUCCUCUCUGAACGUCCCAGAGCCCGGCCUCUCUUCACACAGACCCUGUGGGUCAUGGGGAGGAGAGGAGAAGACUGAAGCUUUUGGCUGGAGGAGAUUCCCAGGUCCCAAGGUCUCCCUGUGGGACCCGGGAAUCCAAGAGCUGUUGAAACCUGCAAGCCAGGAAGGGGGCAGGGGAAUGGAGGUGGAGGGGAAGGUCCAACCUGAGAUUUGGCAAGAAGAGUGGUUAGGGUACCUU